UUGACUUCUGAUUGCUAUAGUAAAUACUGAAAAUGUCUCUUUUAAAUCCUGGAGCACUUUCUUGACCACUUAAAGAUGAAUAAUGGGUGAGGGUGCACCAAAGAAACCCCAUUUUGUAGCUAGUGAAAAGAGUCUUUGGUGGUGAAGACAUGAUAGCCAGCUUUUCUGAAAUUCUUUUUCCUGAUAUACCAUAUAGCACAUAUCAGCACGUGAUAGUGAUGAAGCUCGUCAUACCCCAGGUCUUGCAGUAAAUCCACAGAUGUUUCCUACAGCAGGGUAUGGUAGUCCCAGACAUUCACUUUUUUUUUUCUUCUAUGAGAGUUCAUUCAGAUCACAGAACUGUGUCUGACAUUUCUUAAUUCCUGCAGAUAAAGUUACUGUCAAAGUAACAGAUUUAGACACAAUUAUUGUUAUGGAUGUCCUCAGAAUAUUUGGGUUUAAAAUCAAUGGAAACAUUAAUCUGUCAAGGAAGCCUGAAUUUAUCAACCUGCAUUUUUUGCAAAUUCUUUUUAUUUAACAUCUCUAAACAUGCUAAAUAAAUAUGAAAAAAGAGAUAUGCAUUCAA
Chiroxiphia lanceolata (lance-tailed manakin) is the source of this 565-nucleotide long non-coding RNA. RefSeq lists it as uncharacterized. NCBI's taxonomy places the organism in Eukaryota, Metazoa, Chordata, Aves, Passeriformes, Pipridae. The record is from RefSeq and is a predicted model, not a curated record. The transcript is spliced from 3 exons.